This 378-nucleotide long non-coding RNA is filed under the name Bemisia tabaci. Its description in RNAcentral is "lncRNA ENSASIAIIG010706". The record is from RNAcentral. Lineage: Eukaryota; Metazoa; Arthropoda; Insecta; Hemiptera; Aleyrodidae.
UUUCUCCGUCGUCGCAACAGGAAACCACUGGAGUUUCUACUCAAAGACCUGCAGCGACCUCAACCCCGAUCAAAAGCAGGGAUACACAUAGGAUUUCCUCCGACGAUUCGACGGAAAUCUUCUUCUGAUCGUACCUCUGUCCAAUGACAAUGAUCGGAACACCGAAUCACAACAACAAGUCCCAAGUGAAGGGUCAUCAACAUCGAACUUCCAAGCAACAGCACCUCCUAACAGAAUAUUUAUUGCUCUCUCGCCUUCUACGCUACACGCACCGAUAUUAAGCGACGUCAGUCCUCGUCCGGAUCAUCCCGCGAAUUUGUCGAAAAGGGCGUUCUCAAAAUGGUGUCUAGCAGAAGCCGUAUUGUGGCGAUUCCCAGU